AUGGGAGACGGUAGAAGUGGUGACCCAUCCUACCAUGGCAUCCAUCCGCUCAAGGCUCGCUCGCCGCCAGCGGAGUGGGACUGUGGGGCACUGGGGGUGGACCUAGAUCCCCCCAUUUUUUUGGAACUAGUUGAGGGAGUUGGUUUUAUUAGCGGAGAAGAACUGCGCGCAAGUGGCGGCCGGAAUCCCGUGCGGAGCGGCCCCCAUGCCACGACGGCGGUUGAGGAUGCCGCAGGGGAGCGAUGCAGCUGCUCCUCGUCGCCUCGCCGGUCAUUCGCCGCUGCAAGGACCUCGUCGCGCGCACCCUCGGCCAGGGACGCCGACGCCGCCGGCCGGAGACGGCGGCGCAGCCGCGGCCCACUCUACCGCCUCCUCCUUGGAUGCCUCGGCUUCCUCGUCGCAUGCCCCGACAACACGAUGGUCGCCGAGUCGACGCCCGUGAGGUGGCUUCCGCUGUCAGCGUCGUCAACGGCGAGGCUGACCUGGGUGGUGGCGAAGGAGCUCGACCGCGGUGAGGGAGCUCGGCGGUGGCAGCGAGGGAGCUCGGCACCGGAGACCGCACUGGAGAGACCCCACUAGGCCCGGCCGU
This 589-nucleotide long non-coding RNA is filed under the name Oryza sativa Indica Group (long-grained rice). RNAcentral's name for it is "lncRNA OsZS97_07G022080". The record is from RNAcentral. Lineage: Eukaryota; Viridiplantae; Streptophyta; Magnoliopsida; Poales; Poaceae.